GUUGUAUGGUUAAGUGAYUAAGCGUAGACGGUGGAUGCCUUGGCAGUCAGAGGCGAUGAAGGACGUACUAACCUGCGAAAAGCGAUGGUGAGCUGGUAAGAAGCAUUUGAGCCAUCGAUGUCCGAAUGGGGAAACCCACCUGCAUAAGCAGGUAUCUUAGCGUGAAUCCAUAGCGCUAAGAGGCGAACUCGGGGAACUGAAACAUCUAAGUACCCGAAGGAAAAGAAAUCAAUUGAGAUUCCGGCAGUAGCGGCGAGCGACCCCGGAGCAGCCCUUAAGCGGCUUAGGCGUUAGGUGAACAGGUUGGAAAACCUGGCAAUAAAGGGUGAUAGCCCCGUAACCGACGGCGCCUUAGGCGUGAAAACGAGUAAGACGGGACACGUGAUAUCUUGUCUGAAGAUGGGGGGACCAUCCUCCAAGGCUAAAUACUCCUGACUGACCGAUAGUGAACCAGUACCGUGAGGGAAAGGCGAAAAGAACCCCUGUGAGGGGAGUGAAAUAGAACCUGAAACCGUCUACGUACAAGCAGUGGGAGCCUCUUUUAUGGGGUGACCGCGUACCUUUUGUAUAAUGGGUCAGCGACUUAAUGUAAGUAGCCAGGUUAACCGCAUAGGGGAGCCGUAGGGAAACCGAGUCUUAACUGGGCGACAGUUGCUUGCAUUAGACCCGAAACCGAGUGAUCUAGCCAUGGGCAGGUUGAAGGUUGAGUAACAUCAACUGGAGGACCGAACUCACUAACGUNAUGGGGUGACCGCGUACCUUUUGUAUAAUGGGUCAGCGACUUAAUGUAAGUAGCCAGGUUAACCGCAUAGGGGAGCCGUAGGGAAACCGAGUCUUAACUGGGCGACAGUUGCUUGCAUUAGACCCGAAACCGAGUGAUCUAGCCAUGGGCAGGUUGAAGGUUGAGUAACAUCAACUGGAGGACCGAACUCACUAACGUUGAAAAGUUAGGAGAUGACCUGUGGCUAGGGGUGAAAGGCCAAUCAAACUCGGAGAUAGCUGGUUCUCCCCGAAAGCUAUUUAGGUAGCGCCUCGGACGAACACUACUGGGGGUAGAGCACUGUUAAGGCUAGGGGGUCAUCCCGACUUACCAACCCUUUGCAAACUCCGAAUACCAGUAAGUGCUAUCCGGGAGACACACGGCGGGUGCUAACGUCCGUCGUGGAGAGGGAAACAACCCAGACCGCCAGCUAAGGUCCCCAAGYUAUCGCUAAGUGGGAAACGAUGUGGGAAGGCUCAGACAGCCAGGAUGUUGGCUUAGAAGCAGCCAUCAUUUAAAGAAAGCGUAAUAGCUCACUGGUCGAGUCGGCCUGCGCGGAAGAUGUAACGGGGCUAAGCGAUACACCGAAGCUGCGGCAAUG
This 1361-nucleotide ribosomal RNA is filed under the name Salinivibrio kushneri. Its description in RNAcentral is "bacterial LSU rRNA". It matches the Rfam family "Bacterial large subunit ribosomal RNA", at positions 1 to 1211 of the family's 2925-position model. The record is from RNAcentral. Lineage: Bacteria; Pseudomonadati; Pseudomonadota; Gammaproteobacteria; Vibrionales; Vibrionaceae.